GAAACGGUCAGUUGACCCCUUUAGGAGUUAUUGCCCUUUAUAGUCAAUUUUUAACCAUUUUUCGUAAAUCUUAGUAAUCUUUUACAAAAAUCUUCUCCUCUGAAACUACUGGGCCAAACUAAACUUAACUUGGCCACAAUCAUCAUUGGGAUAUCUAGUUUAAAAAAUGUGUGGCGUGACCCGCCCAAACAACCAAGAUGGCC
Molecule: long non-coding RNA, 203 nt
Filed under: Mytilus galloprovincialis (Mediterranean mussel)
Lineage: Eukaryota; Metazoa; Mollusca; Bivalvia; Mytilida; Mytilidae
Source: RNAcentral